GACGAACGCUGGCGGCGUGCUUAACACAUGCGAGUCGAACGGAAAGGCCCCUUUGGGGGUACUCGAGUGGCGAACGGGUGAGUAACACGUGAGUAACCUGCCCUUGACUUCGGGAUAACUUCAGGAAACUGGGGCUAAUACCGGAUAGGAAUCCUUGCUGCAUGGUGGGGGUUGGAAAGCUUCGGCGGUUUUGGAUGGACUCGCGGCUUAUCAGCUUGUUGGUGGGGUAGUGGCUUACCAAGGCUUUGACGGGUAGCCGGCCUGAGAGGGCGACCGGCCACAUUGGGACUGAGAUACGGCCCAGACUCCUACGGGAGGCAGCAGUGGGGAAUAUUGCACAAUGGGCGGAAGCCUGAUGCAGCAACGCCGCGUGCGGGAUGACGGCCUUCGGGUUGUAAACCGCUUUCAGCAGGGGCGAAGCUUGUGGUGACGGUACCUGCAGAAGAAGCACCGGCUAACUAC
Molecule: ribosomal RNA, 462 nt
Filed under: uncultured bacterium
Lineage: Bacteria
Description: partial 16S ribosomal RNA
Rfam family: Bacterial small subunit ribosomal RNA
Source: RNAcentral